This 563-nucleotide ribosomal RNA is filed under the name Stenotrophomonas sp. Its description in RNAcentral is "bacterial SSU rRNA". It matches the Rfam family "Bacterial small subunit ribosomal RNA", at positions 94 to 653 of the family's 1533-position model. Lineage: Bacteria; Pseudomonadati; Pseudomonadota; Gammaproteobacteria; Lysobacterales; Lysobacteraceae. The record is from RNAcentral.
AGUGGCGCCCGUGUGAGGAAUACAUCGGAAUCUACUUUUUCGUGGGGGAUAACGUAGGGAAACUUACGCUAAUACCGCAUACGACCUACGGGUGAAAGCAGGGGAUCUUCGGACCUUGCGCGAUUGAAUGAGCCGAUGUCGGAUUAGCUAGUUGGCGGGGUAAAGGCCCACCAAGGCGACGAUCCGUAGCUGGUCUGAGAGGAUGAUCAGCCACACUGGAACUGAGACACGGUCCAGACUCCUACGGGAGGCAGCAGUGGGGAAUAUUGGACAAUGGGCGCAAGCCUGAUCCAGCCAUACCGCGUGGGUGAAGAAGGCCUUCGGGUUGUAAAGCCCUUUUGUUGGGAAAGAAAUCCAGCUGGCUAAUACCCGGUUGGGAUGACGGUACCCAAAGAAUAAGCACCGGCUAACUUCGUGCCAGCAGCCGCGGUAAUACGAAGGGUGCAAGCGUUACUCGGAAUUACUGGGCGUAAAGCGUGCGUAGGUGGUUGUUUAAGUCUGUUGUGAAAGCCCUGGGCUCAACCUGGGAACUGCAGUGGAAACUGGACGACUAGAGUGUGGUA